Molecule: ribosomal RNA, 253 nt
Filed under: uncultured bacterium
Lineage: Bacteria
Description: partial 16S ribosomal RNA
Rfam family: Bacterial small subunit ribosomal RNA
Source: RNAcentral
AACGUAGGACACGAGCGUUAUCCGGAGUUACUGGGCGUAAAGGGCGUUCAGGCGGGUGAUUAAGUUCGCUAUGAAAGCGCCGGGCUAAACCCGGCGAGGCUGGCGGAUACUGAUCAUCUGGAGUGAGUCAGAGGAAGGUAGAAUUCCGCGUGUAGUGGUGAAAUGCGUAGAUAUCAAGUGGAACACCAGUGGCGAAGGCGAGUCUCUGGACAUUUCCUGACGCUGAGGCACGAAAGCCAGGGGAGCAAACGGG